CUGAAUCUUGAUCUUAAUUACUUGGUAAUAAUUUGAGGGUUCCACCGCUGUAAAGUGUAAACUAGCUCUUUCACCUCCAAUAUGGAUUACAGGUCACAUGGUUAUCCGAAGACAAUCUCCAAUUUGCCUAAUGCAUUACAAUUUUUAGCGGUACUUCAUUAUCAUCAUUGGUCUAAAUUAAGGAUAAAAUUCAGUAGGUGAAUUUGUCAGCUACUCUAUCACUUUAUAUCAAAAAUUUCCCACUUUAUCUUAUUCUUAUGGGCCAAUUACAUAUAAGUCCACUUUGAGACAUUUUUUCUCACAUAGAUCCACCCCAACAUUUUUACCCACAUAAGUCCACCCAAAUCUAAAUAAAGUUUUGUAUAAAGUAUUAAAGUUCAACAUAAUUACAGACUGCCAUCCAACAAAAAAAAUUAGAUUUUCUCCUUUAUAUUUACAAGAAUGCCACUAGUAUAAAAAGUCAACAACCAUUCUCAUUUCGGAACAGUCUCCGGCGGACCUCCGGCGAGAUUUCCAGCGGACCUCCGGCGAGGUUUUCGGCCGACCUCCGGCGAGAUUUCCGACUGACCUCCGACGAGAUUUCCGACUGACCUCCGGCGAGGUUUCCGGCCGACCUCCGACGAUGACAAAAAUUACUACUACCAGCUAAAAAAGCUACUACCACCAGCUAUAAAAGCUACUACCACCGCCUACAAAAGCUACUACAAAAGUUUCCGGCCGACCUCCGGCGAGGUUUCCGACCGACCUCCGGUGAGGUUUCCGACCGACCUCCGGUGAGGUUUCCGGCCGACCUCCGACGAUGACAAAAAUUACUACUACAAGCUAAAAAAGCUACUACCACCAGCUAUAAAAGCUACUACCACCGCCUACAAAAGCUACUACUGUGAGGUUUCUGAUGAAAACAAAAGCUACUACCACAAGCUACAAAAGCUACUACCACCGCCUACAAAAGCUACUACUGUGAGGUUUUCGACGAACACAAAACUACUACCACCAGCGACAAAAGCUACUACCACCAGCUACAAAAGCUACUACCACCGCCUACAAAAGCUACUACUGUGAGGUUUCCGAUGAACACAAAAGCUACUACCACCAGCCACAAAAAAUACUACCACCGCCUACAAAAACUACUACUGUGAGGUUUUCGACGAACACAAAAACUACUACCACCAGCCACAAAAGCUACUACCACCGCCUACAAAAGCUACUACCACAGCCUACAAAAGCUACUACUGUGAGCUUUUCGACGAACACAAAAAAUACUACCACCAGCCACAAAAGCUACUACCACCAUCUACAAAAACUAUUACCACCGUCUACAAAAGCUACUACGUCCAUUGAUUCAUCAAAUUACACAACUAAAUUAGCAGUCAGUGAUGCGUGAUCAAGAUUGAACAAGAAUAGAAAUGAAUCGGAAUACUCAUAAAACCACAGCCCUUGGAUCGGCCUGUGUCCUUGUCAGAAAUGACAACCGCCUCAAGGCGGUGGAUCCUCGAUAGAUCUGCACCUCACCGACGAAUCACCUUCGUCGUCACCGUCUCGAACUCAUAGGAGAAGGUGCGGAGAAGAAGAUGACGAGGCUGAUCGGAGAAGGUGCGGCCAGUGAUGACGGGGCUGAUCAGAGGAUCGGAAAAGGUAGAGGAAGGUCCACACACACUGGGGAGAUCUACUAAGGCGCAUAAAUCUCUGCUUCCAACGGCGGCGGGCGCCGAACAAGUGGUGGAUGACGUCGUCGGAGUUGGUUGGACCUUGUAGAUCCGGCUGCGCGUUGAGGAGAUGCAGUCGAGGUCGAAGCGGAGGUCGUCGAGGAGUCGUCGACGGUGGAUCCAGAUGUCAUCGUCAAGGCGACGGCAUCGUCAGAGCCGGAGAUGCAAUCAAGGCUUAGUCGGAAGUAGCGCCGAGGAGGCGGCGGCUUCGCCAUGGCAGUGGGUUCGCGAGAGAGAGAGAGAGAGAGAGAGAGAGAGAGAGAGAGAGAGAGAGAGAGAGAGAGAGAGAGAGAGAGAGAGAGAGAGAGAGAGAGAGAGAG
This 2026-nucleotide long non-coding RNA is filed under the name Fragaria vesca (wild strawberry). RNAcentral describes it as "long non-coding RNA (FVES_LNC000172)". Lineage: Eukaryota; Viridiplantae; Streptophyta; Magnoliopsida; Rosales; Rosaceae. The record is from RNAcentral.